This 433-nucleotide ribosomal RNA is filed under the name uncultured bacterium. RNAcentral's name for it is "partial 16S ribosomal RNA". It matches the Rfam family "Bacterial small subunit ribosomal RNA", at positions 29 to 507 of the family's 1533-position model. The record is from RNAcentral.
AACGAACGCUGGCGGCAGGCCUAACACAUGCAAGUCGAGCGAGGACUCCGGUCCUAGCGGCGGACGGGUGAGUAACGCGUGGGAACGUGCCCUUUGCUUCGGAAUAGCCCUGGGAAACUGGGAGUAAUACCGGAUGAGCCCUUUGGGGGAAAGAUUUAUCGGCGAAGGAUCGGCCCGCGUUGGAUUAGGUAGUUGGUGGGGUAAUGGCCUACCAAGCCGACGAUCCAUAGCUGGUUUGAGAGGAUGAUCAGCCACACUGGGACUGAGACACGGCCCAGACUCCAACGGGAGGCAGCAGUGGGGAAUCUUAGACAAUGGGGGAAACCCUGAUCUAGCCAGGCCGCGUGAGCGAUGAAGGCCUUAGGGUUGUAAAGCUCUUUCAGCUGGGAAGAUAAUGACGGUACCAGCAGAAGAAGCCCCGGCUAACUCCGUG